GGCAUUUUGCCAGUAAAAGGAGAAAAACAUGAAGACUGGAAAAGAUUAGGAGCCUUAGCCAUCUGCUUCUGCUCUGGGGUCUUUGGGACCUUCUCCCAGAUGCAUUAAUUCAAGCAAAACAUAAUUUAAAAAAUCUGCAUACUGAAAUUUUUUACUAAUUGGAACAAAUUAGUAAAACAAAGACUUACCUGAGAGCUUGAACAGUGAAACACAUAAAAAGGAAUAAGGAAUACCUGGAAAUGGUAGCUCAGUAGAAGGGCCUCUAUCAGGUUACAGUUAAUAGGGAUACAGCUCAGUAUGUAUGUCGUUUUGAGAGGAUCACCACUAUGAGAAUAAGGACCAAAAAGCUAGCCUUAUAUGGCUUAAUAUGAUUUUAGGUUUUAUGUUUAAGGAUUUGAUUAAAAGUUAUUUGUGAUUACAGUACAUAAUAUUUAACCUGAGCAGUGCUGACUUGACUUCACUUUCCAUCACCAGUUCUGCUUAGAGAUAAAUGGACAUUUUUAAAGUGUCUAAAAUGUUCUGUUAAGGAGAUCAGUAGUACCCUUUACUUUGUCAUUUUGUUUCUUAAUAGUUUUGUUUUGGACAGAUGGGAAAAUGCUGAACAUUUUUGAAUAUGUCUCAAGCUCCAAACUGGAGAAAUCUGAUUUGUAAAGAUUUUG
This 659-nucleotide long non-coding RNA is filed under the name Bos taurus (domestic cattle). Its description in RNAcentral is "long non-coding RNA NONBTAT018721". Lineage: Eukaryota; Metazoa; Chordata; Mammalia; Artiodactyla; Bovidae. The record is from RNAcentral.